This 431-nucleotide ribosomal RNA is filed under the name uncultured bacterium. RNAcentral's name for it is "bacterial SSU rRNA". It matches the Rfam family "Bacterial small subunit ribosomal RNA", at positions 29 to 506 of the family's 1533-position model. The record is from RNAcentral.
GCGAACGCUGGCGGCAGGCCUAACACAUGCAAGUCGAACGGACCCUUCGGGGUUAGUGGCGGACGGGUGAGUAACACGUGGGAACGUGCCUUUUGGUUCGGAAUAGCUCCUGGAAACGGGUGGUAAUGCCGAAUGUGCCCUUCGGGGGAAAGAUUUAUCGCCAUUAGAGCGGCCCGCGUCUGAUUAGCUAGUUGGUGAGGUAAAGGCUCACCAAGGCUACGAUCAGUAGCUGGUCUGAGAGGAUGAUCAGCCACAUUGGGACUGAGACACGGCCCAAACUCCUACGGGAGGCAGCAGUGGGGAAUCUUGCGCAAUGGGCGAAAGCCUGACGCAGCCAUGCCGCGUGAAUGAUGAAGGUCUUAGGAUUGUAAAAUUCUUUCACCGGGGACGAUAAUGACGGUACCCGGAGAAGAAGCCCCGGCUAACUUCGU